RNAcentral lists this RNase P RNA (373 nucleotides) under Pseudomonadota bacterium. RNAcentral's name for it is "Proteobacteria bacterium (groundwater metagenome) RNase P RNA component class A". It matches the Rfam family "Bacterial RNase P class A". Rfam says of the family: Ribonuclease P (RNase P) is a ubiquitous endoribonuclease, found in archaea, bacteria and eukarya as well as chloroplasts and mitochondria. Its best characterised activity is the generation of mature 5'-ends of tRNAs by cleaving the 5'-leader elements of precursor-tRNAs. Lineage: Bacteria; Pseudomonadati; Pseudomonadota. The record is from RNAcentral.
AAAGCGGGACGAAUGAUCGCUGGCGCCGUUGAACGGCGCGGGAGGAAAGUCCGAGCUCCGCAGGGCAGGGUGCUGGGUAACGCCCAGCGGGGGUGACCCCGGGAAAGUGCCACAGAAAGCAAACCGCCCCGCAUUCGGGGUAAGGGUGAAAGGGUGAGGUAAGAGCUCACCAGCUCCGGCGGCGACGCCGGGGGCUAGGUAAACCCCACCCGGAGCAAGACCAAAUAGGGGGGCGUUCGAGGGCGGCCCGCCCGAGGCCCCCGGGUAGGUUGCUCGAGGGUCCAGGUAACCGGACUCCUAGAGGAAUGAUCAUUGCCCCGCGGGCGGGCGACCGCCUCGGGGAACAGAACUCGGCUUACAGGCCCCUUUCUCA